AUGACCGUGACGCUCGAGGAUGUCUCGUUGAUCACCGGUCUUGCUAUCGACGGGAGGCCUCUAUGUAUGAGCACCGAUUCUGAUGGGUGGCGCGAGCAGAUGAUUGCUCUUAUCGGUAUGGCUCCUACCGAGGCUGAGGAUGAUGUAGAGGACGGAGAAGAGAAGAAGAAGAGGGAAAGGAAGGCAGCCGGAGCUGCUUUCACGUGGAUUCAAAAUAACUUUGCGACGUGCCCUCCGGAUGCAACUGAUGAUGUGAUCCAGACACAUGCUCGUGUGUAUAUGUGGUACAUUGUGUCGAGGACUUUGUUUCCUGACUCCAAUGGCAAGAACGCUCCAUGGAUGUGGCUGAAGGCGUUGACCGUCUUCGAUAGCAAAUGGAGCUGGGGUUCAGCGACUCUUGCCUACUUGUACCGACAGGUAGUUGGUCUGUUUUGUGAUCAACUCAUUUAUUCAUUAGCAAUGCAAGCUUGCUGUCAAGUUAACAUUGUUUUUCUUUUAUAUGUAGCUGGAUGA
RNAcentral lists this ribosomal RNA (513 nucleotides) under Triticum aestivum (bread wheat). Its description in RNAcentral is "partial small subunit ribosomal RNA". The record is from RNAcentral. Lineage: Eukaryota; Viridiplantae; Streptophyta; Magnoliopsida; Poales; Poaceae.